GGACGGUUAGCUCAGCUGGGAGAGCACCUGCCUUACAAGCAGGGGGUCGGCGGUUCGAUCCCGUCACCGUCCACCA
This 76-nucleotide transfer RNA is filed under the name Vulcanibacillus modesticaldus. RNAcentral describes it as "tRNA-Val". It matches the Rfam family "tRNA". Rfam says of the family: Transfer RNA (tRNA) molecules are approximately 80 nucleotides in length. Their secondary structure includes four short double-helical elements and three loops (D, anti-codon, and T loops). Further hydrogen bonds mediate the characteristic L-shaped molecular structure. tRNAs have two regions of fundamental functional importance: the anti-codon, which is responsible for specific mRNA codon recognition, and the 3' end, to which the tRNAs corresponding amino acid is attached (by aminoacyl-tRNA synthetases). tRNAs cope with the degeneracy of the genetic code in two manners: having more than one tRNA (with a specific anti-codon) for a particular amino acid; and 'wobble' base-pairing, i.e. permitting non-standard base-pairing at the 3rd anti-codon position. The record is from RNAcentral. Lineage: Bacteria; Bacillati; Bacillota; Bacilli; Caryophanales; Bacillaceae. RNAcentral also lists the same sequence under 11 other names.